ACGAACGCUGGCGGCGUGCUUAACCCAUGCAAGUCGAACGGUGAAGCGCCUUCCUUUUUGGUGGGUGUGGAUGAGUGGCGAACGGGUGAGUAACACGUGAGUAACCUGCCCCCUUCUUCUGGAUAACCGCAUGAAAGUGUGGCUAAUACGGGAUAUUCUGGGUCUGUCGCAUGAUGGGUCUGGGAAAGAUAUUGUUUCGGUGGGGGAUGGGCUCGCGGCCUAUCAGCUUGUUGGUGGGGUGAUGGCCUACCAAGGCGGUGACGGGUAGCCGGCCUGAGAGGGUGGACGGUCACACUGGGACUGAGACACGGCCCAGACUCCUACGGGAGGCAGCAGUGGGGAAUAUUGCACAAUGGGCGCAAGCCUGAUGCAGCGACGCCGCGGGAGGGAUGGAGGCCUUCGGGUUGUGAACCUCUUUCGCCAGUGAAGCAGGCCUGCCUCGUUUGUGGGUGGGUUGACGGUAGCUGGAUAAGAAGCGCCGGCUAACUACGUG
This 493-nucleotide ribosomal RNA is filed under the name uncultured bacterium. RNAcentral's name for it is "partial 16S ribosomal RNA". It matches the Rfam family "Bacterial small subunit ribosomal RNA", at positions 29 to 507 of the family's 1533-position model. The record is from RNAcentral.